CAUCACCCUCCUGCCAGGGGUUGAAGUCAGGAAGUAGUUUAUUUUCGCUGAAACUGAAGGGGGAAGUUAAAGAGAAAAAUAGCUGCAACUUGGUCAAUUCAGGAAAACCAGGUACGAAAAAAGAGGAGCAAGUUAAAGGGAAAGCCAGCUCGGAUUUGCUCACCAGUAAAAGGCAAAAAUCCCAGUGUUAUUCAUCUGCAUUUGGUGUGAAAGACAAAAGCUCAACUGGGAUCUGAGGCUUUCUGUGUCAGAGGGCAAGGAGUCAAUGGGGUUAUGAGGAAGUAAGACCACUUGAGACAUCAAAGAAAAGUAGAUCAAAUCACUAGACUCCUCCAAACAGGAGUGGGUGAAGACAAAAAGUGGAGAGAAUCCAGAGGGAAGAGAGGAGUAGGGAAAAUGGUGGAAAGGGAAGGUUUUUGAGAUGGAAGGCAGAGAAUGGGAACAAAAGAAGAAAAAGCUGUUUGUUUCAAAUCAAUAUUCUCCAAGAGGAUGUCUUGUUUCCCCAGGGAUAUUCUGAGGGACUCACAGGAUCAGAGCUGCGACACUUCUAACAUAUGAAUUCUCUCAAUUCUGAUGCCCUUUGACCUCUGCCACACAAUGCCAAGACAAACCCAGACCCCAGGCCCUGGAAACAGAGGAGGGGCAGGUACACAAAUAUCCAAGAUUGGAAAGAAGAAAGAAAAUGACGACAGAAUUUUGCAGUCUACAAGGCAAACACUGCCAUUCAUGUAGUUAUGGAGUUCCUACUAUGUGCAGACAAUGGGAAACUUUACGAAGGUGAGCAGACAGGGAUCUCACACUCCUACUAUGUGUAGAGCAAUGGGAAAUGUGUGGCAAUAAGGUAAAGGUCUUUUAUUUCAAAAUAUUUUAGCAUAGAAGGAGAAAUGUCUACUUGAACAAUGAACAAAAUACCUUAUCGAAACAAGUCUGUAGAAAUCUGUUUAAUUAGAAAAGCAUAAAAGUUAUUACUCUUAGCUGAGUGGUAACUGAUUUGAUUCAAGUUGUCUAAAAUUUUCAUUGCAG
Molecule: long non-coding RNA, 1023 nt
Filed under: Homo sapiens (human)
Lineage: Eukaryota; Metazoa; Chordata; Mammalia; Primates; Hominidae
Description: HSALNT0079193
Source: RNAcentral